RNAcentral lists this ribosomal RNA (467 nucleotides) under uncultured bacterium. RNAcentral describes it as "partial 16S ribosomal RNA". It matches the Rfam family "Bacterial small subunit ribosomal RNA", at positions 28 to 507 of the family's 1533-position model. The record is from RNAcentral.
GACGAACGCUGGCGGCGUGCUUAACACAUGCAAGUCGAACGGAAAGGCUCCAGCUUGCUGGAGUACUCGAGUGGCGAACGGGUGAGUAACACGUGGGUAAUCUGCCCUGCACUCUGGGAUAAGCCUGGGAAACGGGGUCUAAUACUGGAUAUGACCGUUCUCCUUAUGGGGUUUGGUGGAAAGUUUUUCGGUGUAGGAUGAGCCCGCGGCCUAUCAGCUUGUUGGUGGGGGGAUGGCCUACCAAGGCGACGACGGGCAGCCGGCCUGAGAGGGUGAUCGGCCACAUUGGGCCUGAGAUACCGCCCAGACUCCUACGGGAGGCAGCAGUGGGGAAUAUUGCACAAUGGGCGGAAGCCUGAUGCAGCGACGCCGCGUGGGGGAUGACGGCCUUCGGGUUGUAACCCUCUUUCAGCAGGGACGAAGCGUAAGUGACGGUACCUGCAGAAGAAGCACCGGCUAACUACGUG